This 254-nucleotide ribosomal RNA is filed under the name uncultured bacterium. RNAcentral describes it as "partial 16S ribosomal RNA". It matches the Rfam family "Bacterial small subunit ribosomal RNA", at positions 524 to 776 of the family's 1533-position model. The record is from RNAcentral.
UACGUAGGGUCCGAGCGUUGUCCGGAAUUACUGGGCGUAAAGAGCUCGUAGGCGGUGUGUCACGUCGGCCGUGAAAACCUGCAGCUUAACUGUGGGCGUGCGGUCGAUACGGGCAUCACUGGAGUUCGGCAGGGGAGACUGGAAUUCCUGGUGUAGCGGUGAAAUGCGCAGAUAUCAGGAGGAACACCGGUGGCGAAGGCGCCACUCUGGGCCGAAACUGACGCUGAGGAGCGAAAGCGUGGGUAGCAAACAGG